This 400-nucleotide ribosomal RNA is filed under the name uncultured bacterium. RNAcentral describes it as "bacterial SSU rRNA". It matches the Rfam family "Bacterial small subunit ribosomal RNA", at positions 355 to 747 of the family's 1533-position model. The record is from RNAcentral.
UCGAGAAUCUUUCGCAAUGGGCGCAAGCCUGACGAAGCGACGCCGUGUGAGCGAAGAAGGCCUUCGGGUUGUAAAGCUCUUUCGCUAGGGAACAAGAGAGGCGGAUGAAUACUCCGCUGAUUUGAUGGUACUUGGUAAAGAAGCACCGGCUAACUCCGUGCCAGCAGCUGCGGUAAUACGGAGGGUACAAGCAUUGAUCGGAAUUACUGGGCGUAAAGGGCGCGUAGGCGGUUAGGAAAGUCAGAUGUGAAAUUCCGGGGCUCAACCCCGGAGCUGCAUUUGAAACUCUCUAACUAGAGUUCAGCUAGGGAAAAUGGAAUUCCACGUGUAGCGGUGAAAUGCGUAGAUAUGUGGAAGAACACCGGUGGUGAAGAUGAUUUUCUAGGCUGACACUGACGCU